Long non-coding RNA from Bolinopsis microptera, 2329 nucleotides. RefSeq lists it as uncharacterized. The record is from RefSeq and is a predicted model, not a curated record. NCBI's taxonomy places the organism in Eukaryota, Metazoa, Ctenophora, Tentaculata, Lobata, Bolinopsidae. The transcript has 6 exons.
CCGUGGUCCGUGGCCUAGGGACCGAAGGUAAAAGCUGUACAAAAUGUAUUGAACAUUCCCUGCCCUUUCUUAUUGAAGCCUAUUACAAUUUUUAUAGCUUUUCUUUCCUCUGCGAUUACAGAUUAGCUGAGAGAUUAACUCUCAUACUGAGAGAUUAACUCUCAUACUGACACUGAACAAGCUCGGCGAAUUUACUCUCCCUCUCAGGAUUUGCCAUGAUCCUUAUUAUAGUGCUUGUCACAUGGCUAGGAUGUCUCAAUCCAAGAGGAAUGUUUCCGAUGUGUGGACAUUCUUUACUGUGCCAGAUCCUGGAGGAAGUCCAUAUUAUUAUUUGGAGUGCUUGGCUUCUAUCAGACUGGGAAAACUCAGGCCAAGCGGCCAAGGAUUUCCAGGUAAUCAUUUUAUGGGAUCAUUUGCAACAUAAGCACCCUUCUAAACACAAGGAAGCAACUGCAAUACGUGAAUCACAGAGGGUCAAGACUCAAGAGACAAAAGUCUGAUGAAGUCGAAGCUGAGCGGAGAUCGAUGUAUCAACUGACAACAUCUAAUCAGCGGGGGCAGUCUGGAGCGGCGCCACUGUUACUAGACUGAUGAACGUCAAAAAGAUCUAAAAAGUUGCUCCUGAAAUGGAUUAUUGAUCAGAUGCUCCCCUACACGACUGUUGAGAAUGAACAUUUUUAACAGUUUGUUGACGGUUUGAACAAGAAGUUUGACAUACCCUCAGAAAAGGUGGUGCGCACAAAACUGUUUUCUGAAUUAUAUAAUAGAGUUUAAACUGAAGAAAUCGAUUGAUGAUAGCCUGAAAGGAGCUGAUUACAGUCUGAGCUGUGAUGUUUGGUCGUCAAAAGCGCUGGAUUCCUAUUUGGGGGUCAUAAUACUACAAAGUUCAUCGUUGUCUGCAUCUCAACAGAUGACUCCUCACGAUUGGGAUCUUCUGACCAAGGCUAUUGCGGUACUGAAGCCAUUCUACAUCACCACAAAAGCGGCGGAGGGGGACAGGGUUUUUGUUUCGGAGGUCAUCCCAAAUAUAAAGAAACUGGAUUACGCUAUCAGGAGUCGGAACUCUUAAACCCACACUGCUUUCCGAAAUGGCCAGGAGACUGAAGAAAUCCAAAGAUAGUGCACCGAUCUAAAGAGAAUGAGUUAGAAGACCUUCGGAAUCUGAAAGUGGAGUCGCUAUACUUUGACGGGAGAAAAUAUGCAGCAUUGUGAUGAGCUUAGGAUCGACAUUCGACAACUCGCCACUAAGAUCUUGUAGCUGUUACGCCACUUACGUCAACACCGGACGUCACAAUGGGAUUAUAGCCCUCUUGGAGAAAAAUUUUUGGACGGGAAUCGCAAAGAUUUAUUUGGUGCCUUCACAGGAUAGAACUGCCAUUAAAAAUUUAAGGGGUUCUGAGUCCUGAACUUUCGAGAGAACGAAUUGGUUCUCUCAGCCACGCAAGGUGGAUUACAAUGCAGUCGAGUUAGUUAUAUCAUCAAUAUUUACUUACCGCUUGAUUUGAAUAUCAAGUAUAAAAGCUCAGUUGUUAAUGGUGUAGUUAACUUGUAUGAGGAAGUAACAUUGGUCAGGAAACACGUUAAGGGUAAAGUUGACAGGGAAAUUUGUUUAGAAGUUUAACGAAAUAAUUCUUAUUUUGAACACCCCCAUAACAUUCUAAUUGCCAUGUUAGCUGACGAUUGUUCUGUUAUUAAAAAAGAGGCUAUAGAGAAGGUUUCUGAAGUUGUAUAUCAGAUGUUUUGUCGUUAAGCUAUGUUCUGCCUAAGUUGGAUGUUAAGGCGGGUAAGGCCACCGUUAAGGCCACUAAGUAUUCCGAGUUGUGUUCUACGAGUAAGCUAGAAUAUGGUAGCAUAUUUAUAUUAAAGGGAUUAGAUUUACUUUUGUUUUGUUUUAGAACCAUCUACUUCUGAGCUGCCCUGUCAAAAUUAAAAGGGCGUACAGGUUGUCUCGGCAAAAGCCUCUUUAAAUUAUUAAUGGACGAUCCUAAAGACCGUAAUUUGGUCAUGAACACUUCAGAAGAAUUGAAUGAAAUAAAGGAUAUUGCCCGCUGUAAACAAUGUUGAAGGACAAGUUCGACAAACCCUAAGGUUCGACUCUGAGUCUGUCGAACUAAAGUGCUCUAUCUGGACUCAAGUUCGACACGUACUAAAGUUAGACAAAACAACUUUGACUGUCGGACUACAGUUUUGAAAUCUCCAAUAUCAAGCAACGAUCCUUAACGAGCUUGUCAUUUAUUCGUUUGUGUGUUUUCAACUUGUCUCAUGCUGUUCAAUUAUUUGUUUAUAUAAUUUUAUAAUCCAUAUCUAUGGAAAUUUAAUUGACCUCAUA